CUACGGGAGGCUCCAGUGGGGAAUAUUGCACAAUGGGCGCAAGCCUGAUGCAGCCAUGCCGCGUGUAUGAAGAAGGCCUUCGGGUUGUAAAGUACUUUCAGCGGGGAGGAAGGGAGUAAAGUUAAUACCUUUGCUCAUUGACGUUACCCGCAGAAGAAGCACCGGCUAACUCCGUGCCAGCAGCCGCGGUAAUACGGAGUGUGCAAGCGUUAAUCGGAAUUACUGGGCGUAAAGCGCACGCAGGCGGUUUGUUAAGUCAGAUGUGAAAUCCCCGGGCUCAACCUUGGAACUGCAUCUGAUACUGGCAAGCUUGAGUCUCGUAGAGGGGGGUAGAAUUCCAGGUGUAGCGGUGAAAUGCGUAGAGAUCUGGAGGAAUACCGGUGGCGAAGGCGGCCCCCUGGACGAAGACUGACGCUCAGGUGCGAAAGCGUGGGGAGCAAACAGGAUUAGAUACCCCUGUAGUC
This 464-nucleotide ribosomal RNA is filed under the name uncultured bacterium. Its description in RNAcentral is "partial 16S ribosomal RNA". It matches the Rfam family "Bacterial small subunit ribosomal RNA", at positions 339 to 795 of the family's 1533-position model. The record is from RNAcentral.